GCCUCAGAGAGGAGGCCAGAGCAAACGGUAGCCUCCACCCCCACCCCCGGGGACCCAGAGCCUCUCAGGCUCUGUUUCUAGACCUCCCUAGGCUGAAUAAGCCAAACUGUACAAACCAUAGGAGAUUGCAAAAGGUACAGUGAAUGGCUUCUGAGGCCAGGUCAAAAUUAGAAGCCAGCUGCAUGUCAGGAGGACAUUCAAGCAGCUCUACGAGAAGCCUAUGGAGUGAGGAUCUGAGGCCUCCCACCAACGAGCGUGCAUGUGUGAAAAGGAAGCUGAGCUGCACAGUGAGACAGUGAUGGAGCUGGGAUUAGGGACCAGAUCUCCAGGCCACCCCCAGUUCCAUGUGCUUCACCCUGCCUGCAGAGAGGAGCUAAAGCUAACAGGUCUUUGCAUUUCAGCAGGAGUGAUUCACAGAGAAAUUUGUCUGAGGGAAAAGACGAAAACUUGAUCAUGAGCAUCAGAUGAGAGGUAUUCGCUUUAACCAGAAGCAGCUCCAGAAAAUCAAGAUAAGAGGCACUCAGGAGCAGCGAUCUGAUUAGAAAUCAGAUUGCUGGCUAGAGAACUUGUUCAAAGAUUUAUAUAUAAAGCCAUGACCUGCUUUUUAUGGAGA
Odocoileus virginianus texanus is the source of this 613-nucleotide non-coding RNA. The record is from RefSeq and is a predicted model, not a curated record. Lineage: Eukaryota; Metazoa; Chordata; Mammalia; Artiodactyla; Cervidae.